GGCCAUCUUAGCUCAGACGGUAGAGCGGCGCACUUGUAAUGCGCAGGUCUUCGGUUCGAUUCCGGAAGAUGGCUG
This 75-nucleotide transfer RNA is filed under the name Spirochaetia bacterium. RNAcentral describes it as "tRNA-Thr". It matches the Rfam family "tRNA". From Rfam's summary of the family: Transfer RNA (tRNA) molecules are approximately 80 nucleotides in length. Their secondary structure includes four short double-helical elements and three loops (D, anti-codon, and T loops). Further hydrogen bonds mediate the characteristic L-shaped molecular structure. tRNAs have two regions of fundamental functional importance: the anti-codon, which is responsible for specific mRNA codon recognition, and the 3' end, to which the tRNAs corresponding amino acid is attached (by aminoacyl-tRNA synthetases). tRNAs cope with the degeneracy of the genetic code in two manners: having more than one tRNA (with a specific anti-codon) for a particular amino acid; and 'wobble' base-pairing, i.e. permitting non-standard base-pairing at the 3rd anti-codon position. The record is from RNAcentral. Lineage: Bacteria; Pseudomonadati; Spirochaetota; Spirochaetia.